UAAUUCUGAGACAUUGGAAAAAGUUUCCAAUGUAUGGCAGAGCGAAUAAGAAGAAUCAAAUUAGGCAGAAGGAUAAAAGUUUCUCAAAUCUGAAAAGAUGGGAGAGUACUUUAGUAUCAGUUUUGUGAUCAUCUUAAUGAUUAAGAAACCAUAGCACAAUUAGUUCUCUAAGGAAAUCUUAGUGCAUUCUUAUGACUAAGAAGAGGAAUCUUGAAUUGUUGAAAUGGUUAAAUCAAGAAGAUGAGUCAUACUUCGUUCCAAUACAAGUCUUAGAGUCAUACUCCAAGAUUGUAACUUGAGUGACAUGUCUUAAAGAAGGUUUAAAACACUUGUCAAAUGUAAGAGUAAAAGUUUUCUACUCUUGUACAUUUGAAAUUGGUAAGUUGUGAUGUUUUGGAUAAAACAAAGACCAACUUAGGCCAAUUGUGUGAAGUGUUUGUCUUGAUUAGAAUCCACACUAUCUCUUGGAUAUUUGACAAGGGAGUCUUAUAGGUCAAGAGGACAGUGGGAGUCUUAAAGGUCUUGAAAGUCUCAAGAACUAAUCAAGAAUAAAACCUGAAGUUCUUCACUAGCACACGACUUGAGGUUUAUAACCUAUCGUGUUGACAUAUUCUGUGCCCAUUCCAGUUAAAGUUGGCUUUGCAUAUGAGUUCUUAGAGUUCUCAAUUGGUUGCACAACAACUUGGAAGCAAUGGCAGGCCCUUGAGCUGCCAGGUGGCAAGAAAUUAAGAUUGAGUUCAGUCCAUAUGAGUUUGGAUUUGUCAUUAUCCUUGUCUUGUGACUAUGGUUUUGACAAUUCACAUGGAUAAGAACACAUACACCAUUAAAUCUAAGUGUCAUAAGGUUUCUCUCCGAUUCAUGAAAAUGAUGGUGAGGAAACACUUUCACUAAGUAGAUUUUAGCUAGAUAGCAAUUGUGAUAUUUGCAUUCUCAAAGUCGUUAGUGGAGCAUGUGUGGUUUACCGGCACAGUAACAUGGACUUGUGAGAAGUGGCAAAGGUCUAAACAAAUUGAGACUAUGAUUACAACAUCCCUUUUCAUAGUUCUUAAAAAUUGUUUAGAGACACCUGUGAGCUAUCUAAGAUAAGGUGUAUGAUUAUGAUAAAGUUUUAUCAAAGUAAUCUAGUAUCAGAAAUCUGAACUUUUGUAAGAGAGUCAAUAAAGUAUUGAUUUCUAGAAGUCGAGCUGAUUUCUAAGUACAUGUCAAAGCUAGUGGGAGCAUAAGUGUUAUGCUAAUAAUCAUCAUGUUAGUGGGAGCAUGAUAAUUAUGAUAAAUAUUGCAAGUUAGCAAUGUUAAUUAUAGAAAACAAAAGUUUCAAUUGGGAAAAAGUUGUUUUGCUAUAAUUAAGGGAGAGGAAAUUAUGCUUCAUCUCAAAUCUAUAAGCUUAGAUCGUGAGGUUUUAAUCAUUUAGUCAAGGAUAUAUAUGAAUUUCAUGUUGGAAUGGCUCAACAUAAGGAAAUUCUGUAUAUGGGUCCAUUAUUUGCGUUCUAAAAUUCGAUUAUGAUUACGGCAUCCCUUUUCAUAAUCUGAAUUAUGAGAACUUGGCAAAUUGAAAUGGAAAUAUUAUAGCAAAAGACUGGUUUAGUCUUUAUGUAAGACAUCAUGAAUCGUGUCCCAUAUGCUUCGGAUAUAGGAUCGAUUACAUGUGCUAUAUUCAUCCGUUCUAAAAUUUUCCAAAUGCCUGGGGCAUUAAGAAGGGAAAAGGUUUAGAACUGGAUAUGACUAAAAGGAUUAAACAAUUGUCGAGGACAAUCUAAGGUUUACCAAAGAUUGGUUGCUCAAGGACAAUUGGAAGUAUAGUGAUAAUUCUGGAAGGACCAUAUUGACAUAAUCUGUAAGGAGGCAACUCUUGUUCAGAAGUGAUAGUCAAAAUGGAAUCUGGAAAUGUUUCAAAGUUAGAAUUUUCAAUCUGUGUAAGAUUAAGGAAACUUAAUGCAAGAAGGAUAUUUCCAAGGAGUUGAUCUCCUUUGGAAUACUCUGUAAUGAUUGUUGCCAAGUCUUUGUGACUUUGUGCAUAAUCGUUACAAGAGGAUCAAUGCAUAUAAGUUUAGAAUCUAACAGAUUUCUGUAAAUGGCAUGAAUUUGGAAUUCUUGCAUUUGCAGUAAGGAUUUGGGAGUGUGAAAAGAGAAUCAUUGAAGUUAUGUUCAAUUGAUCUAGUUCACAAAGUAAAGAUCAUAGACAAACAUAGUAUGCAUACUUGGUGUGUGGCAUGACUAGUGUUUAAGAAAACAUAGUGUACAUGCUUGGAGCAUGGGACAACUAUUGUUUUAAAUUCAAGAAUAAAGUUGAUAGCUGAAACAGUAUACAAUGAAUAAUGUGUAAUCAUAUGGUGAUAAAUAAAAGGUGUUUUAUUUAUGUUCAAAGGGUUGAUACCAUAUUGGAUUCAAUUAUUAUUGUGUUUCAUUUUGCAUGUUUUGACUUCCCGAAUAAACUGGGUUAUUCUUCCGGAAUGACUAAGUUAUUCAAACCAUCCACAGUCGGUCAUAUGUUGGAAGUAGAUAUGAAUUAAGACUGUCAUGGGUUGGCUUGUAGAGGUCUAAGGUGUUGGACAAAGGGCUACAACACUCAUGAGUGCUCAUAAGUUCUGAGUAUUGGAUUCAACCCGCGCUCAUUGGAAUCACUUCAUGGAUUUUAUCACGAGUGAUCAUGAGACGAUAAUAUCUUAUAUUCUUCAAACCUAGAGAUAUGAGUUGUUACUAUGAGUUGAUAGUACAUUGAUUGCACGAAAACGCAUUUGGUAACUCGGUGCUAUAAAACGUGCCUUUGUGUAUGAUUCAACAAGUAGUAGAACAAGCCAUAUGAGUCGAAGUUUAUCCGUUCCUUUUACCUUCGGGAUAAAAGCGAUAUCUGUGGGCCCCUCGAUGAUUUGAUGAUGACAAAUGGAAGUGCUCGGCCGGGCCAGGACUGAUUUGAUUUGUUCAAUUAGUCAGUCGUCAUAAAUCGGAAAUCGGGAAACAACAAAUGGACAGAGAGAAUGAUUAUAAUCCAUGUCUCAGUCCAUAUGAUAUCUAGAAUGGAGGAAUAUAUGAUCCCUUAUCUAAUGGACAAGUCAUUGACAAAGGUCAGAGUUCAUCUACAAGGUCAGAGUUCGACAGAAGCUUUUGAGAGCUACGAUUGCCAGUUGGUUCCUGAAGUCAUACGCAAUAAUAGUUUUAGACUUAUCCAAGUGGGAGACUGUUGGAUUAAUGUCUAAGUCCAUAACUAUAAUUGGUGAGACUUGACCCGACUCGGCAUGGUCUAUUUAGGUUGCAUGGCAUCAUGCAUUUGGAUAAACUAUAAUGAGAGAAAUAACACUUAUGGUUGGUUAAUAUAUUAUAAGUUCUAAUAUAUUAAUAAGAUUAUUUAAUUAGUAUUGAUCAAGAAUUAAUCUAGGAUUGAUAUGUCGGAUCCAACCAUUUGUAGACCCCAAAGUUCCUGUUCGAGUUUUUGUAUUUCCCCUCGAGGACAGUACUCUCUCAUCAGCAUGGCCUUCAAGUGUUCCCAGUUGAUGGAAUUUACCACCACUAUAGUCAGAGACUUAACAUGGCCAUUCCACCAUGUUAGUGCUCUGUCAGAGAAGGUACAAGUAGCAAACUUGACCUUGUUGCCCUCAGGGCAGGCGCAUAUUUCAAAGACCGCUUCCGUCAUUUCAAUCCAUUGCCUUAAAAUCAUAACCCCACCAGUUCCAUUGAACUUUCAGGGUUUGGCAUUCAUGAAGUCCUUGUAGGUGCAUUCUCGAGGAUGCCCAUGGCUCUCGCCGUGGUUGGAGGGAUGUGCACUUGUUCCUGAUCCACUAGGGGCAGGAGUAUUGAUGACUGACAUAGCAGCUGCUACGGCUGCUAUGAAUGCUGCCUGGGACAUAGUGGCAUCGAAAGGAGGAGGUGGUUGAGGAGUUUGAGGUGGUGGAGGAUGUGGUGGUAUCGGUGUUUUGUUAUUUUGGUUACGCCUUGGAUUUCUACGUGGCGGCAUCUUUUAGCUAUACGUUUAAAAAGAUGACAACAUUGAUAAGAAUAAUCAAAUAAUGAGAGUGACUCAUGGACUAACCCUCCAUGGUCCAACAGCAUAAUGAAUAGUAUGUUUGAAUGAAGCUGAUAGCAUUUGGAUAAUAACUUCCAUAUGAUUAGAUAUCUGUCAGUAAUACUGGAAUUACAUAUGUUGACAGAACUAUGACUAGACCAAGACCUAACAGGUCUAAGAUUUACAAAGAUAAGAAAUUAGACCAAAGUUCUUACAUAAACUAGGUUAUAUCCAAAAGAUGAGUCGCUAAGAUUCUAUCGCGACGAUAACUGCUAGCAUGAGUUCUUGAUCCCUUAUACGCCUGUCAGCUCUCACUUUCUGAGCUCGAAGUUCCCUAACUUCAGCUUGGGUUUCAGCAAGUUCUCUCUGUAGAGAUGCAUUGCGGACCAGAGUCCUUUCCUGAGCAGACUCUAGUUGGCGAAUGCGGAUAAUGUUAAUGCCAUAGUUGGCGUUAAUCUCCAAGACUCGAUUGAUAGUUGAUUGACCCAUUAUCGUGUUCCGAGAAAUCCUACAAACCAUGAUGGGUAGGAACAUGUCAGGAGAACCCCCCUCAGUGAGGUUGUAGAAGAUUUUGUCUCCGUUGUAGGGGAUAGGUUGACCAUGUUCCUGGCUCCAUGUAUUCAAGUUUGUGGCCCACGGAGGUGUGGGUCCUUGAAAUGCGGGACGGGGGUUCAGGAUUGGCUUUUGAUCAGCUGGAGGUAGGUUGUUGACUUCAGGCUCCGAGUCAGAACUAUCAAAGAAGCCUUCGGCCUGAUGAUAAUCCAAAGGGAUUUAGUGAUCAUCUUCCGGUUCUUCCUCUAUCCAAAGGCAUUGCCUUGGUUUGGGAAGGACGGGUCGCCGUGGUGAAAUCCCGCCAUGAUAUCUAUGUUGGAUAAGGUGUCUAAGUCCAUAACUUAUUUGGUACAUACUUGACCUGACCCGGCAUGGUCCAUUUGGGUUGCACUUCACCCAAACGAUUUAUGGAUAAUUUUAUGAGAACUGUAUACUUACGAUUUAUUAAUAUAUUAUAAGUUAUAAUAUAUUAAUAUGAAGUUAUGUUAUUUAAUUAGUCUUAGUCUUAAAUUAAUUAUGAAUUAAUUUAGAGAUUAAAAGGAAGACUAAUUAGAUUAUGGGCUAUUGGUUUUAUAUGGUGUGGGCUAACACUCAUUUGUUAAUGGGCUAGGCUUAUAUGGAAGUCCAUGGAUGAUCCAUGGAGCUUUUAACCCAUGGAUCCUUGGAAAAGGAAAGGUCAUGGGUUAUUAGGGUUUCACCCUAACCAUGCACACUAUAUAAGCAUGCUUAUGGAGCAUGAAAUGGCAACUAGUGAACUAGUGUGUGUGUGCUUGUGUGUGGCCAAAAAUACAAGUGUGUAUACUCUCUCAAAGUUUUCCAAGAGUUUGUGGUGUUUUGUGAUUCCAUUUGAGGCAUUCACACUAUUGGUGCUUGGCCCUCAAACUCCUUAAGAACCAAACUCAUCAAAAAGGUAUGUAAUCUCUUCUAACUCUUUUAUGUUGAAAUGUUCCCCAUGCCAUGUUAGAUAGGUUAUGAACCUUGGAAAAUUAUUAUUUUGCAUGUAUUUAGACAAACAUAGAUCCAAGGUUUAUUAGGGUUGCAUGCACACUUAGGAAGUGUUAGAUUGCUCAAAACCCAACAGUGGUAUCAGAGCCUAGGCUUGCUUGUUUGAUACUUGAUGCAAAAUAGUGAAAAAAGUUGAAAUUGUUGCUGUCUGGCUGAUGGACUCGCCGAGUCCAUGGGGGGACUCGCCGAGUUCAAGGCAAAAUUCAUCCUACUCGGCGAGUAGGUUCGUGCACUCGGCGAGUAGAAUGAUCAGAAUGCAGAAUUUCGACUUUUGCUGCUGGAAAUGGACUAGAAACAUUACCCUAAACUGUUUUGGUGUUUUAAAACUUGUUUUAGUUGGUGUAAUGGUUGUUCUAAUCCAUUUACAAUAGCAUAUAUCAAAAUUCCAUGAUUUUUAUGUGUUCAUAUAAUUCUUGAAAUUUUGAUGAUCAUGUUCAUGUUCUUAUGAAUUUAGAAGAUGAUAGGAAUUAUUUGCUGAAUUGUUUAGAAUUAAUUCUUGAUCAUUUAUGUGUUUUAAUGGAGUCCAUAAUUUGUCCUCAAGUUAUGGAUAUCCAAAGGUCACUUUUCUUUAACACACACAUUUAAACACAUAAGUUACAUGAAAAUGAAGAGUCUUCAUUUUUAUGAACCUUUAAUUCAUAAGUUAUGAAAUGAAAAGUUUUGGAUAGUUACAAAACUUGCCCUCAAGUUUUGGAAUUUGAAAAGUUUCACACACUUUAAUAAACUUUAAUUCCAACACUUAGAGUUUUAAAAGUUAAAAUUCAACACUUAUACUAUUUAUAACAUUAAUGGUUAAUUAUUAUAUAUAUGUAUAAGAACAAGUCGUUUUACCGUUAGUAGGCCUCAUUCACGAAGCCGGUCUAUAAGGUGGGUAUAAGGUUGUUGCCUAUAAAAUGGCGACUUAAUGGGUGUCCACUCUCACCCACCGCUUGCUUGAUCGGUGGAGGGUCGUUAGCCGAACGGGUAGGACAAUGACUUUAAAUUCUCAUUAAAAGUAUAAUGAUUAUUAUAAAGUAACUAAAAAUUUUUUAUUUAAUUCCCAAUCUUAGUUACUUUAGGAAAAAUGUGAAUUUGGUGCUAGCCCAUGGAAUUCACACUUUGUACCUUACCAAGUCGUUGGUGGAGCGUGUGUGGUUAACCGGCACACUAACUUGGACUAGUAAGGAUCACGAAGGGUGACUUAAUGUUUGUCAUAGAUCAAUGGAGCGUGUGUGGUUAACCGGCACAUUGAUUAGGUGAUAAUAUUAAGGGUACCAAGUGAAUUGGUAUGGUUAUUCACACCUUGUUUUGUGAUCCUCGGCAUCCCAGUCACAAAAUUUGAGAGGGCACACUCGAGAUUGAAACAUGCCAUUGAAAAGUUCAAUGAAUCUCAAAAGAUCUAGGAAUUUCAAAUCCAAUUAAAACCUAAUAAAUUAUUUCGUUUUUCAUGGUGGAAAUUGGUGAAUCGUCAUUCGCCUACCUUCAAAUAUUUUAUAGCUUGGAUUACGGCAUCCCUCUUCCAAAUUAUAAAAUAUUGUGUUGGGUCCUAGCCUUAAUAUUUCAUAUUGGGUGUUAUAUUAAGGACUUUGAAUCAACUAACUUGAUUUUCUCCCAUUAUAGAUGUCUGGUUCAGACAACUAUGAUCUUCCCAAAUCUCUUGAAGAUGGUGUCCCUCAACAUCAUGCUUCACUUCCUCCACCUCCUCCAAUUAUUCUCCCUCACCCACAAGUUCUUGAAAAGUUUAAAGUCACUCAAUCCCUAUUGGCAAGCAUAGUCUAUGUGUGCUCACAUCUUGGAGAUAAAGUCACAUAUUGACAAGCCGGGAGAGUUGGGUGUCAAAGUCUCGUGAAAGUUGGAUGUUCAAUCACUUUCUUAGUAACAUAGUGAGUCUCUUUGGGACUACUAUGAGACAGACUAUGACAUGACCCUUAAUGAUGUUAUCUAUUUGCUUGGUGUUGUGGAAUCAGCAAUGAUUUGGAACACCAGUAAAGCAAAUUUGAUUAAAAGAACAACUUCCCAAGUCUUAAAUGGACAUUGACAAUGGUAGCAUUGGAUAUCUAGAAAAGGAUUUCUCUUCCCAAUGGAAAGGGAUCGGCCAUAGUCAACUCGGUUGACCAAAUGGUAAAGAGAAAGGCUAAGUCUGAGAUAGUCUCAUGUGCCAUUACCAAAGGGUCCAUGUGUUUUGUUGCCAAAGGAAGGGGCAUUGGUUGCGAAGCUGCCCUAUUCACCUGAAAGGUCAUAAGGUUGAUCAAGUCAAGAGGUUUGACUCUACUUCGGGUAAAGUCCACUGUCUAACUCUAUUAAGUUCCUAUUUGGAGAUUCUUAUUACAUAAUGUGAAUGGGUCACAUGCUGAUGUUUUUAAGAAUCAAAGAAAAGAUAGGAAGCUUAAAGUAAGUAUAUGUUGAUUCUGAUUGCGAAGGUGGGUUUCGAUCGCAUGGUUCGGUAAUCAGAAUUUUGAGCUGUUGCUUAAGAGUUAUAAUAUAUUGCUUAUGAAUAGAUAACAACAAGGUUUUCAUGUGGAUUGUAAGGAUAAGUUUUUCCGCAAAGUUUUAAAAAAAAAAAAAAAAAGGGUUUUAAUUUUAUUUAUUUUAAAAAUAUCCUUACAAUGGCAUCUGUGGAAAAUUGUUGCUUAUAUGUUUCCAGUAAUAGCAAUAUUGGAAAGUGGAUUUGAUUCUUUCAUUUGUGGUAGUGUCUGAAUUUACCAAAUGAAGAAAGUUUUUCAUCACCCAAGUUUCAAUUGGACAGAAACUUGGAAUCAUACAAGUUGUAUUGUAUGAUGAAUGAGAAUUUUCAUCUUUGAAAAUUAAGACUAAUUCUUUGAUCACAUGUAUAUGUGAGUCAAUUGAAGGACUAAGGAAUUAGGUACACUGGGUGUGCGCUGGUCAAGGUCCACCACAAAGAUUGAUUUGUCAUGAUUUACUAAAGAUUAGUAAAUAUGAUUAUACUUAUGAGGUUAAGUAUAAUUCUGUAACAUUGGAAAGGUUACAAUGUAUGACAAAACAAAUGAGAAGAAUCAAAUUAGGCAGAAAGAUAAAAGUUUCUCAAAUCUGAAAGGAUGGGAGAGUACUUUAGUAUCGUAUUUCAUGAUCAUCUUAAUGAUUAUGAAACCAUAUCACAAAUUCAUACUCUAAGGACGUCUUAGUGCAUUGUUAUGGCUAAGAAGAGAGGUCAUGAAUUGUUGGAUUGGUUAAAAUCAAGAAGAUGAGUCAUACUUCGUUCCAAAACAAUUCUUAGAGUCAUACUCCAAGAUUGUAACUUUGAGUGACAUAAAGGAAGAUUUAUUAACACUAGUCAAAUGUAAGAGUAAAAUGUUUUCUACUCUUGUACAUUUGAGAUUGGUAAGUUGUGAUGUCUUGGAUGAGACAAAGACCAACUAAGACCAAUUGUGUGAAGUGUUAGUCUUGAUAAGAAUCCGCACUAUCCCUUGAAUAUUUGUUUUGUCAAGGAAUGGUUCUUGACUGGGGAAACUUAUAUGUCAAGGGGACAGUGGGAGCCUUAAAGAUCCUGAAAGAGUUUCAAGAUUUAAUCAAGAGUAAAACCUGUAAUUUAUCACUAGCACACGACUUAAGGUUUGCAACCUAUCGUGUUGACAUAAUUCUUAUUUCUGUACCUACUUCAAAUAAGUUGAAUUUGCAUGUGAGUUAUCAGAGUUCAACUUGGAAGCAUUGGUGGGCCUUGUGCUACCAAGGUGACAAGAAACUAAGAUUGAACAAGUUUAAUCCAUGUAAGGCUGAAUUUGUCACUAACCUUAUCUUGUGAUUAUGGUUUUGACAAAUUCACAUGGAUAGGAACUCAUACACUAUAAAAUCUAAGUGUCAUAAGGUUUCUCUCCGAUUCAUGAAAAUGAUGGUGAGGAAACGCUUUCACUAAGUAGAUUUUACGUAGAUAUCAAUUGUGUUAUUUGCAUUUUCAAAAGUCGUUAGUGGAGCGCGUGUGGUUAACCGGCACACUAACAUGGACUUGUGAGAAAUGGCAAAUGCCUAAGCAAUUGAGACUAUGAUUACGGCAUCCCUUUUCAUAGUUCUGAAAAUUGUUUAGACACACAUGUGAGCUAUCUAAGAAAGGGUGUAUGAAUCUAAAUUUCAGAAGUCCAGCAGAUUUCUGGAAAUAUGUCAGAGCUAGUGGGAGCAUAAGUGUUAUGCUGAUAAUCAUCAUGUUAGUGGGAGCAUGAUUAUUACGUUUAGUGUUGCAAGUUAGCAAUGUUAAUUAUAGAAAACAAAGUUUCAAUUCGUGAAGUUGCAGGGGUUGAAAAGUUGUUUUGCUAUAAUUAAGGGAGAGGAAAUUAUACUUCAUUUCAAUUCUAAAGCUUAGAUUGAGAUUUUAAUCAUCUUUAGUCAAGAAUAUAUAUAUGAAUUUUAUGUUGGAAUGGUUCAACUUGAAGAAAUUCUAUAUAUAUUGCGUUUUCAAAAUUCGAUUAUGAUUACGGCAUCCCUCUUCAUAGUUAAAUUUUGAAAACAUGGCAAAUAAAAAAUAUUGUAGCAAAAGACUGGUCUAGUAUCAUGUCUUUAUGUCAAACAUCAUGAAUCGUGUCCCAUAUGCUUCGGAUAUAGGAUCGAUUGCAUGUGCUAUAAUAUUCAUCUUUUCUAAAUUUUCCAAAUGCUUAAGGCAUUGAGAAGGGAAAAGUCUAGAACUGGAUAUGACUAAAGUGAUUAAGCAAUUGUCGAGGACAAUCUGAGGUUCGCCAAAGAUUGGUUGCUCAGGGAAAGUUGGAAGUAUGAUGUAAGUUGUCGGAAAGGACCAUAUUGACAUAUUCUGAAAAGAAGUAACUCUUGUUCGGAAGUGAUAGUCAAAAUGGGACUAUGGAAAUGUCUCCAUAGGUGGAAGUUAUUCAAUCUAUGUAAGAUUAGAAAACCUUAAUGCAAGAAGGAUGUUCAAAGCAAUGUACUUUGAAUAUGAGACUUCCGUUCCAUAGAAGUUGACCUUCUUUGGAAUACUCUGUAAUGACUGGUGACAAGGUUUUGGUGACUUUGUGCAUAAUCAUUACAAGAGGAACAUUGCAUAAAAGUUUAAAAUCUAACAGUUUUUUUGGUAAAUGAUAGGAAUCGGGGAUUCUCACAUUUACAAUAAGGAUUUGGGAUUGUGAAAUGAGUAUCAUUGGAAUCAUGUUCAAUUGAUCUACAUCACAAUGUAAGGAUCAUAGACAAACAUAGUGUGCAUACUUGGAGUAUGGCAUAACUAUUGUUUAGAAAAACAAAGUGUACAUGCUAGGAGCAUGGGACGACUGUUGUUUUUAUUCAAGUCUUAAGUUGAUUGUUUGAAACAUUAUACAAUGAAUAAUGUGUAAUCAAUAUGGUGAUAAAUAAAAGGUGGUUCUAUUUAUAUUCAAAAGGGUUCUGAGACCAUAUUGGAUUCGAUUAUUAUUGUGUUUCACUUUGCAUGUUUUGACUUCCAAAAUAGCUAGGUUAUUCUUUCCGAAUGACUAAGUUAUUUAAACACUCCACAGUCGUUCAUAUGUUGGAAGUAGGUAUGAAUCAAGACUGUCAUGAAUCGAGUUUGUAGAUGGCUAAAUGGGUUUAGUCAUAGCAAUGGUUGCUACAACAUUCAUGAGUGCUCAUAAGUUAUGAGUAUUGGAAUAAACCCACGCUCACUUGUAUCACUUCAUGGAAUUUAUCUCGAGUGAUCGUGAGACGGUAAUAUCAUAUAAAUCUUCAAACCUAGAGAUAUGAGUUGUUACCUAUGAGUUGGUUGUGCAUUGAUUGCACGUAAACGCAUCAGUAACUUGAUGUUAUAAAACGUGCCUUUGUGUACAAUUCAACAAGUAGUAGAACAAGCAUAUGAGUCGAAGUUUAUCUGUUCCUUCUAGAAAUAGAAGCGAUAUCUGGGCCCCUCGAUGAUUUUGUUGUGACCUAUGUACCGGCCGGUCAGAACUAAAUUGAUGUGUUCGAUUAAGUUCUUUGUCAAACAAAUCGAAAAUCGGGAAACAAACUGCUGGACAAUAAGUACGACGUUGUUCCAUGUAUUUGUCCGGCUGAUAUCAUGAGAACAGAGGAUUAUAUGAUCACUUAUCUAAAAUGGCGCUUCAUAGUUCAACAGAGUUUUCGAGAGCUACGAUUGCUGGUUGGUUCCUGAAGUAACAUACGCAAAUAUAGUUAUUAGACUUAUCCAAGUGGGAGUCUGUUGGAUAAGGUGUCUAAGUCCAUAACUUAUUUGGUACAUACUUGACCCGACCCGGCAUGGUCCAUUUGGGUUGCACUUCACCCAAACGAUUUAUGGAUAAUUUUAUGAGAAUUGUAUACUUACGAUUUAUUAAUAUAUUAUAAGUUAUAAUAUAUUAAUAUGAAGUCAUGUUAUUUAAUUAGUUUUAGUCUUAAAUUAAUUAUGAAUUAAUUUAGAGAUUAAAAAGAAGACUGAUUAAAUUAUGGGCUAUUAUAUUUUAUAUAGUGUGGGCUAAUACUCAUUUGUUAAUGGGCUAAGCUAAUAUGAAAGUCCAUGGAUGAUCCAUGGAGCUUUUAACCCAUGGAUCCUUGGAAAGGAAAAGACAUGGGUUAUUAGGGUUUCACCCUAACCAUGCACACUAUAUAAAGAAGCAUAUGAUGCAAGAAAUGUGACACUAGUAGUGUGAGACUUAGUGGUGGCCGAUUCCACAAGAAAGUAUACUACUCUCUCAAAGUUUUCCAAGUGUUUGUGGUGAUUUGUGAUUCCAUUUGAGGCAUUUACACUAUUGGUGCUUGGCUCUCAAACUCCAAAGAAUCAACCAUCAUCAAAAGGUAUGUAUUUCUACUAGUACUUUUAUGAUUCAUAAUCCUUAUGCUAUGCUAGUUAGGAAGAAACCUUGGAAGUUAUCAUUUGCAUGUAUUUUAGAAGAAAACAUAGAUCCAAGGUUUAUUAGGGUUGCAUGCACACUUAGGAAGUGUUAGAUUGCUCAAAACCCAACAAUCUAUGCGAGAAAAGGGAUAUAAGAAAUAACUAACUAGAUGAACUAAUUAAGAUAAUUACAGUAAGACCAAAUACCCCUAUGGUAUUUCUUUGUGGUUGUGUUGGUAAGUUUUUAGACUUAUUGCCACAUCACAACCAUUCUUGUGCAUAUGCUAAUCACUCCUUGGACCAGCAUAGUUGAUCAGNAUGCUAGUUAGGAAGAAACCUUGGAAGUUAUCAUUUGCAUGUAUUUUAGAAGAAAACAUAGAUCCAAGGUUUAUUAGGGUUGCAUGCACACUUAGGAAGUGUUAGAUUGCUCAAAACCCAACAAUCUAUGCGAGAAAAGGGAUAUAAGAAAUAACUAACUAGAUGAACUAAUUAAGAUAAUUACAGUAAGACCAAAUACCCCUAUGGUAUUUCUUUGUGGUUGUGUUGGUAAUUUUUUAGACUUGUUGCCACAUCACAACCAUUCUUGGGCAUAUGUUAAUCACUCCUUGGACCAACAUAGCUGAUCAGGCUAUGCCACUCCCAAAACUGACCAUAUAUCCCCAGGCUCACUUGUGAUAUUCAACAAUUGUAAUACUUUUGUUCUUGUCGUUGUGACACCAACUUUUGUAUGAAUGCAAGCAGCUAUACUUAAUUAAAUAUUUUAUUAUUUAAAAGUAUAAACUCUUAGUCAGUGUGUUUUAAUCCCAAUGUAUUUAUAUUUAGUAUAUCUUUUAUGGGUUGAUAUACUAUAUACACUAUAAACAAUGCUCUGAUACCAAUCCGUCACACCCGAAAACCAAGAACGGCGGAAACGUUCAGGGGUAGAGGACGUCAUGUACAGUAUCACAACAAUGCAAAGUAGUAAACAAGCAACAACAUCAUCCAUUGCAUUAAAAGUGAAUAUUUAAUACAUGUGUGUUCUUUAAUAGUAAUAAGACACCAAAAUAUGAAAUCAAAAUAAAAGACGAGUCUUGUCUGUGCUCCGUUCUCAAAACCUGGCCAUCGUACCUGUCUACUGGUGACCUAAGAAUACAAGUUAUUUUGAAAGUGAGUAUCAGCAUAAAGCUGGUGAAUUCAUGAGUAUUUAAGUGUCAUUGUCUUGUUUUGGAAAGUUGUUAUGAAUGUCAUGUAAAUCUUUGAAUGAAACAAUUGAUAUAAGUAUGAAAAACCCUAGAAAAUCUCAUAUUUCCUAUCAGUAUAAGAGUAGUCUUCUACCAAGACCCGAAUGUUUUGAAAGUAGUCUUCUACCAAGACCUGUAUGCUAGAAAGUAGUCUUCUACCAAGACCUGUAUGUUUUAGAGUGGUCUUCUACCAAGACCUGUAUGUUUUGCUAUAACAAUGAUAGUUUUCCCUCUUUUGACUAUUACUAACAGUACCUAGUCUACCUCAUCGUUUAUGUGAAUGUAUCACAAAAUAAAGUAAUAGGAAAAAUAUAGCCAUGUAAGUGUUAUCCUUUUGUAUUAGGAUCAACUCGACAUCGCGACUGCCGAAAUGUAUAACCUUGAACAUCCGUAGAUUGUUCAUUUUCCUAUGUAGCUGGGAGCAAGUUUAAGGAAUGGUUAGUCCCGUAAAGAUACCCCUAAUAUAAGUAUCAACCGUAGGCAUCCGUAGUUGUUCAUUAGCUCUGUUGCUAACAGGUGGGUUCCGGAAUGGUUAGUCCCGUCUAGUUAUCCUUUUGAACUAGGAUAGGCAGAACAAUUUACACGUAUAAUAUGUACUAGUAACUCAUCAUAUUGAAUCUAGGUACAAGUAUCCAUGUAAGUGUAUACAAAUAAAUGUAUAUAUGUAAAUGUAUCCAUGUAAGCGUAUCGAUGUAGACAUAUUCAUGUAACAUGUAAUGUAUGGUAUAGACUCAUGAAUGAACUGACUCUGGUGUAAUUCCUUGUAAUAGGAAUAAUGUUUUGUAUCUCCUAACUAUCCCGAUAAUAGUUAACUGGAAGGUAAUUGAUUGUCCAAGCAGGUUUAUACACCCUUUCUACACAAGAGUGUGGGAAACUGAAUGAAGGUUUGAAAGAUAUCAUAUCAAUACAUAUAUAAGAACAUAACUGUAUCGAUAUAGUUUUGAUCAAGAAAAUGAAAAUGAUUUUGUAAGACAUUUAAGAGUUUUGACCAAUAAUUAACAAUGACUUGAUGUCAUUUUAAUAAACAUUUCAAAAGUAAUACAUUUGAUAACAAAGUAUUUUUAAGAUAGAAAACCAUUUCAUACAUCACAUUUUGAAGCAUGUGAAAUCGGUUGGACGAAACACAGUUAUAAAUCACAUGUGAUUGAUUCUAUAGCAUGCUGUUUUCUACUUGUAUUCCCCCCAUUAAAGCAUUUAAAUCAUUUAAAACAUUGAUUAAGGGGUAUGAACUCACCUAUAGAUGGUGGUUUGAAUGAACUAAACGGUGUAGGAUUGCUAAGUGUCAAGUGAAAACUUGUACACACCCAAAGAUCCAAGUUAAGAUAUAAUCACACAUAUAUGCACCCAAUUAGUCUUAAACUACUAAUUGAAAAUGUUAAGACAUCCUAGAACAUGAUAAACACUUUAUAUAUGUGUUAUAAGCCCUAAGGAUUGCAUCUAAGUUGUUGUAGGACAAGGCUAGUGGGUUUAGGGUUCCAAAGGACCCUAUCCUUGAGUUUACUCUCCAAUACCAUAACAACAAUGAGUUUACGGUAGUAAACCGUUGAGUUUACGUGUCCCUUAGAAGUAUUGCUACUUGAUGGCUUAGUCCUUGGAAGAGAUUAGGAAACCUUUCAACUGCUUUGAGGAGUUCACGACCCUAGAACCAAUUCCCUUAGAGAUUAUGGUCGUAAUCUCUCAUGGGUAUGGUGUUUUUGGUGUUUUCAAGUCCCUAACUUAACUAGGAAUGAAUCUAGGCUAGUGUCCAAGGCUUACGAAGAGUUUAAAGCACACUUUGGUACCCUUGAUUGGGGUUCAUGGUCCAAGAACUUCUUGGGCCGUGAACACCUUACUCUUGGGGUGUUUUCUAGUCCUACAUACAUUAGGAUACGAGUCUAGGCCAGUUUCAUUGCAAAAAGGCAGGGACUAGGGCACUUAUUUUUCCCUUAAAGAAGGGUUUACGAUCCAAGAUGUUCUUGGGCUGUAAACUCUUUGAUCCUGUGGUUUUGAUAUGAUUUCUAGUUUAUUAGACACAUAUCAAGCCCUAUAAUACACUUAGAUAGAAGUAAUCACGAUUUGGGACGAAAGGCCGAAGAUCCGUGACAGAGAAUUUGGCUUUUUUCUAGUUGGAAAUGGAACAAAUGAAUAAAUAUGGCUAAGGAUCAUAUAUAUACCCCUAGGGUUUUGGACCGCAAACUCUAUGUUUGGGUCUUAUAAUUCCAAUUUCUUGGAGUAUGAAAUGUCAUUGUUGCACAAUAACCCUAAUAGCAUCCCCUCACCUGGCAUCUCCUAAAGUGUAAAUCAUAAAAUGUUCAAACUUAACACAAAUCAUUUGAAAGUUAACAGUAACUCUUCUGACUUCUAUUGACUUGAUAUGUAGUACAGAAUGGAAAUUUCGGGUUGUCACAUUUAACCACUUAGAACACCAAAACCAAUGUUCGAACAAUGAACAUAUCAAUUUAAGCACCCCAAAACUCGAUUGAAUGAAGCUUGACACUGGUUACUGCUCUAAUACCAAUUGUAAGGUCCAAAUAUGGAUCUUUACCAGUAAUCAAGCAAUAAACAAUCACAGAAAUAGGAACGAGAUGAAAAGAAACCAAGCUUGCACAUGAUUAUAUUCAAUAAAUUGCCAGGUACAACACGAUGGACUGCUCUGUAAACUCUAUGGCAUCAACAACUACAAAAGACCAACUCCUCCACUAUUUAUACUUGACUUAGACCGGAAACUGUGUUUGCUAUCGUACACAGGCUUUACGGCCGUAAACGUGUUUACCGCCGUAAACUCAGUUUACGGUCGUGAACACACAAAAUGACCAAAAUACAUAAACAACUCAUAAACUGUAUUAGAGACUCUUGCCAAAACAAUAUACACUGAAAGCCUAGACGAAACCAUUAACUGGACUCUUCAGUAAUACCUUCUGAAUGGAUAAAUUUUUCAAUUUUAUCCAUUAAGAUGGUCCUUAAAACCAAGAUCUAAACCUUCAGUUCAAAGGGACCGAGAAUGCAUAUUUCUCAACUUAAUCCAUUAAGUCCAAAUCUCUAAGCUAUAGAUCUGAAUCAACAUUAUGUAUAAAUGGAUAAAUUUCCAAAACUAUCCAUUAUCAGGCUACAAACUUCCAAGAUCUAAAACCCUAAUUUGAGAAAUGACCAAAAACAUAUCUUUCUUUCUGUAUGGAGCAAAGAGAACUCGUGUAUUCACUCUCUACUCCACAAAUGACCAUAUAUUAGCCAUACAUUAAUCAAAAACUCAAGAGCCAUUCAAACUCUAUGAAAUAAGCUACCAAGGUACAAAAACUCAUUAAAAUAGACCAAAACUCCAUGUAUUCAUAGAUCUGAAGAUAAAACAAAAUAAACCUUGGAAUUUUAUGACUUAUAAUGGUCCAAAAGAUAAAUGGAGGUUUGAUACUUCAAAUAUAUAACUUUAAAGACCAAUCUUUCUUUUUCUUCUUACUACUAGAGAACAUUACCACUAAAAGAAAGCACCAAAUGGAAAUUAAGAGAUUACUAAAAUAGAUUUAGGAGAGUAGAUGAGUUCCAAACACUUCAAUUAAUGCUAGGAUUUCAUUAGAGAUCUUUUAUAGUAGGUGGAGGCUGAAAAUGGUGAAGUCCAUACGGUUAGUGACCUUUAAAUAGCCCAAUAACAUAAAAAACGUGAAACCUAUUUCUUUUAAAGGGCGCUCCGCGCUCCUUAAAAAAUUCUUGAUUUUUUUGGUUUUUCUGUUUCAAAUUCAAAUAGUCAUAACUUCUUCAUUCUAACUCUGUUUUCAGUGAUCUUUAUAUGCAUGCAAAGGUAUUGACAAGCCCUACAACUCUAUCUAAUUACUUUUGUCUUAAGGCAUACAUAACAUAAUUUAUUAAUACAUAUAAAAGUACAUAAUAUCACUUUUCCUAUUUUACCCCUUUGCCUCCGAAGCACAAUCAAUGGCCUAAUCACUUAACCAACGUUAUGAACAUCCAAUAAGGUCUAAACGUUACUCCAUUGAAGUACAAGACCUUUACUCAAUCAAAUUACGGUACACAAUCCCUAAAUAAGAAACAUCCCAAAAUUAGAUUUUACAGCUUUUUCACUCAUGAUUCUAGAAAACCGAAACAAGAAUUCAGAUUCUAUUGUCGAGGUUGUCGGGGGGNNNNNNNNNNNNNNNNGUUUAUACACAAGAUGUAAGCUUGGAUCUUUUUGAAAGUUCAUGUGAGCACUUUGCGAAUCUGAUAAUUCAACCCUAUGUCUGGGUUACACGAAAUCCAAAUUAUGGGAUAAUUCUUUAAGGAACAAUCUCAAAUCAAGGCAUUGAUAUGGACCCACUCCAAGGGCAGUGCCUCUUGAUCCCCACUAGGGGCGUUCCCCUAAUAAUCCGCAGGGNNNNNNNNNNNNNNNNNNNNNNNNUACCUUUACCCCCACUAUUUGGUCGAACCGAGAUCAAAUUCGUUUUAUUUAAACAUACUCUACACCAUCUAACUUGUCUAAAAUCAAUACUUCAACUAUAUUGAUAAUAUAUAAAUUCCAUUAUAAUAAAAUGAACCUUGCGAGAUUAAAAUUGCCAACGUGGCUUAAAAAAUCGACUUUACCAUCUUAUCAAAUCAAAUUAUAACGUAAAAAUCCUAUAAUUAUUUAAUCAUAACUAGCUGAAAAACCCGGCCUUAGCCCCGAGUCGGUUUUUUGUGCUUUUUAUAAAAAAAUGUAAAAGUUUUGACUGUAAGGACCAAAAAUGUCAAAAUGGUUAAAGAAUUAAAGGGGUUGGAAUUAACAAGUUUUUAGAAAAAGAACCAAAGUUGUCAAGUCCUUAAGGUUUUGUGUCAAACUUUGAAUAUUAUAAGGUUCCUAAAAAAAUAUAAAAAUUUGAUUGAAAUGACCAAAAGUGUCAAAAUCUACCCUAAUAAAUGAAAGUUUUUUUUGUCAUAUGUCACAUUUUCAUUUAAUUUGCCAAAUGUUAUUUUAAAUUAAUUUUUUUCCACAUGUCAUUUUAUUAGUUUUUUCUAUUUUAAUAAAUUUCACAUAAUAAUUUAAUUUAAUAAUUAUAGUAAAUAUAGUAAUAAAUAAAUAUCAAUUUAAUUAAUAGACUUACCUUCUUAUUUCAAAAUUCUCAAAUUAAAGUUCAUUAAUUUAUUUUGUUUAUUUAUUUAAAUUUAAAAGAUUAAAAAAAUCAAUUUUAAUAAUCCAUUAUUUUUCUUAUAAAUCCAAAGUUUUUUAAAUAUUUACACAUUUAUAUUUAAUUUUUUUUAAUUAACCGAUAUAAUAUAUUAAUCUUACACCUAGUGGUAAAAACAUGAGAGACAAAAUUGACAAAAAAAACAAGCAAUUUUCUUGUUUAUAAAGGAANNNNNNNNNNNNNNNNNNNNNNNNNNNNNNNGAUAUUCGCACGUGUCAAUGGAAUUGCACUGUUCAAAUUAGUCUCUUGAAUUUCCAAAAGUAUAUUGUUAAAGCAUCAAUUCCUACUAAAACUAUCCAAAAGUAACGAAGAAGUGUAGAUAAUUAAUGGUUUGAUUUAUUUCAAAUUGAAAAAAAAAAAAAGAAAAAAACAAUCGAAAAAAUCUCUUUUAAGUCAAGGAGAAGAAUGAAGAUGGAGUCAAGUAGGGUGGUGACAGUUUUUACGUGCACACUGGUGGGAACAGUUUUUGAUAGAUUUGAGGCUUGAUUUUGAUGUAUCAGUGAGAAAAUUCUAUUAAGAAAGACAUCUCAUGAACCAUCACUUUGGUAAUCAUUAUGUGUCAUCACUGUCAAGUAACAUCCGUAUGGCCUUCUUAUGUUCCAACAGGAUUAUAUAUUAUCCAUAGCGAACAAUCAUAAUUCGUUACGUUAUUUCGGUAAUAAACGAUGUCUCAUUCAAAAGAAAAAACCCUGUUUUACUUGUUAUUUUUAAACAUAACAAUUUUAUUUAUUUACGUGUAAUUAUUGAUUUUUCAAAAAUGUUCUGGUUAAAAUUUAGAUUUGUUUAAUACGCAUUUACUCUAAAUAUGUUAAUCAUCUUUAGUUCAUUUUAAUUUUAUUAUGUAACAUAGUGACUUGAGAUAAUUGAAAAAUUAGUUGUUUUUCAAAAAUAAUGUUAAUUUUAACAUGCAUAAAUACUUAAUUAAUAAAAGUACAAACAUCUACAAAUUAAUUUUGAAAUUAUAAAAUAAAAAAUAAUCAUCAAGUAAUAAUAAUGACUAUUUCUAACUACCAAUUUAAAUUAAACACUAAAACAAAAAUUCGAUUAAAUUAACUUUUAUCAAAUUUAUUGAUUUAGUAUUUAUAAAAAUUAAAUAACAUACAUAAUAAUAAUUUAAUAAAUAAAUUUUAGUUAUAAUACAAAAUCUUAAAUGUCCUAUCCAAAGAACAUAAAAUAAUAUAUUUAUAGUAAAUUUAAAUAUAAUGUAUAUCACCUCAUUUUAUUCUUGUUGAUUUUUUUUUUUUUUUUGUUUUUUAUUUAUAAUGUUGUUAUAAAAAAUAGCAUAAUUAUAUAUAGAGUAAAUUAUAGUCUUUGUCCCUUUGGUUUAAAUAAAAUAAUAGUUUUGGUCUUUCUUUUAUGAAAUAACACCAAUGGUCCUUAUUAAGGGUAUGGAUAACACCAAUGCUCUCUAGGACUGUUAACCCUUCCUUUUUCUUAUUUUGCACGGUGCUGCAACCCUACUUUUCAUCCUUUUCCCUCUCUUUCUAAUUGCCACUAAUAAAAUGUAUUGUAUCACUAAUAUCCGCACCACAGUUCCAUUGAUCAUGGACUUGGAACGAAAUAACUAUGAUUCCUAGCUUUAAUUAUUCUUCACCUAUUGUCCAGGUUAUAGUGUUAAUGAUUACAUAACCUUUGCUGUUAAUACUAGCGACUCUCACAGAUUAUUGGUCAAGCAUUGACAAUGUGGUUAAAUAUUAGAUUUAUGGAAUGCUACCCGAAGCACUUAUGUAACAUCCCGAUGAUGAGAUACUUUUAAAUUGGCCCAAUGAUUUAUUUAUAUUUCAAUUUAGACCCUAAGUAUAAGAAAUAUUGCAAUAAGUGCCCUAGUGGCAUUUCCAUAGUUUUGGGUCUCGGGGAAUACGUCAGGCGUACGUGCGCACGCUGAGCGUACUAGGGCGAGCCUUAGUACGAUGGGCGUACAUCUGUAGGUGUACAUGUCAGUCAUGCAAACCCGAAUUUUUAGGGUUUGGUUCAUAUUUAAACCCCAUUAUAGCCUCAUUUUCCCUCACCUCAUCAGCCUCCAUCCUCUUGGAACGUUCUUGAAACCCUAAUCCAUCUUAUCAAGAAUUUCUAAGCUUGAGUGUGGGUGUUUUCUACCUUUGAAGAAAAAGGAAGGGAGUGGAGACCACCUUGGAGGAGUGAAGCUCUUUAGAUCAAGAAUCUCACCACCUUUUGGCAUCAUUUGGGGGUAUAAAGUUCUAAACUUGGUGAAGUUUCAUUUAGAUCUUGUAUUGGGUUGGUUUUUUGUUCCAUUUUGUCGCAAAUGUGGUGAUUCAUGAACAUAGCAUGUUCUUGACCCAUUAAGUUGCCCUUUCAGACCUUAGGAGGGGUCUUAAGUCAUAAUGAUGGGAUCUAAGUUGUUGAUUUGCUCCAUACAUCAUUUUGAGGGUCAUAAUGGAUUAAGUUGUUGAGUUAAUCUCUUAAUGGAUAUGCAAAGUCAUAAAGUUGUAAACUUUACGACUCUAGAGGGUUUUUUAGCCUUGGAUCUAAAAGUUGGAUGUAUGGACUUGUGACAUUAAGCACUUACUGAAGAUUGGAAGAUCUGGGCGUAUGCCCUACGUAUAUUGAGUACGCAGCGCGUACGUUGUCAAGGACCCUAAUGGCGGUCAACGAUGGAGUACGUCCAGCGUACAUCUAGACUAUGCCUCGUGUACAUCUUUGGUGUCACACCCCCGAACCAGACGGCGGAAACGUCCGGGGGCUGUCGUGACUCAAUUGAAUACCAUAACAUUGAAUAUAUAUGAAACAAACAACAUUCGUCACCAUUCAUCAACAUAAUACAACCAGCAGUGUUUACAUGUCAUACAUUGUUGAGAUAUUACAAUUCCAAAAAUUAAUAUUGUUUGGUUCAUUCAAAAAUGAACUGCAACCGUCACUGAGCAUGAUUUCCCUUGACUCACUGGUUUCCUGAGAAUACAAGUAUUUUGAAAAACGUCAACAUAUGAAAUGUUGGUGAGUUCAUAAGUAGUGUUUGAAAUCGAAUGUUUAUAUUGUUUGAAAAACCACCAGAAAAUCCGAUAUUUUCUGAAAAGAAAAGCUUUCAAAAACGUUUGUGAAGAUCCAUAGGUAUGCUUGUUUGUUUCUAUACUUGCAAAAAUUGUUCAUUUAAGAUGUAUGCGUUUAAAAUCUGUAUGUGAUAAAAACCCUAGGGAAACCCGAUGUUCCCCUAGUUCUUUUGAAAUCCAUUGAGUUGCGUUGAAACCAUUACAAAAAUAGUAGUAUCGGUCCCAAGCGACGUUGGAAGGUUCUCGAGCAUUGAUUAUUUACUACAAACCCGCAUUACACAAAUGCCCGGUUUAUAGAUAUACCAACGAUUCCCGAAGGCGUCGUCAGUACUAAUCACGUUAUCCAAUCGCCCGGACUAUGAGUGGUCCCACAUCCGAAGAGAAAGAGGUCACGAAGACCCCGGUAACUCUAUUAACCGGCUUGGGAAAAAUGUGUGCGAGGGGUCCCCGACCCGCCUCGUAAAAUGUGUAGACUUUUCUAGCAAUACCAUGGCCCUUGGGGUCCAAUGGUACAAGCCAUUGAAAGUCACCCUACGUUGUGCCAAGUCGGUAAAACUCAACACUUCGUAGAAAAAAAAUGUCUUCGGGCCUUAAGAUCAGGUCAUUGGGCUAGCUAGGCCCAACAAACAAGAUUUUACACUUUUGGGGCCCGAAGAUGGUGCGUAGACGUCUGUGCACACUCGUAUGUAUGUGUAUUACCAAUCGUUAUUUGUAUGUAUCAAAGAGUUAGUAGUUGUAGAUUUCCAUUGGCUCGAGACCGAGCCAAUUCGUUUAGCAACGACUUUUGGUAUUGUAAUGAGUUGUAUUUCGUUGAUAGUUGAGGUGUCAUUAUUUGAUCACAUUGUACAUAAUGAAUCAGCCUUGAAAUAUUUCUGUUUUCAGCCCCUCAUUAUUUGUAAAAUUUACAUUUUCAACCCUUUUAUUUAAAUAUUUCCCGGUUUGGUCCUUAAACUAUUUUUCUUGACAUUUUAACACCAAAAAUUAUUGAAAUUAAUAUUUUCCAGCAUAUUUUUCAAAGAAAACAGUUUAAGUCCCUGAAAAUGCAGUUUUUCUCGGUUUUAGCCCAUCUUUUCGCAAUUUUGACAAUUUUGGCCCAAAAUGGAAAAUUUUUGCAACUUUGGUCCUUUUUAAAUUUAAAAAGCAUUUUAAACCUUUGAAAAGGGUUUGGGACACUUAUAGUCCACUGUUUUACAGAAAGUUACAGUUUUGGCCCUCCAAAACAGAAAAAUUCGCAUAAUGGGCCUUAUUGGGCCGAAAUUUGCAUUUUUAGCCCAAUAGGCUUGAAAUUUAUGUUUUUAAUCCACCAAUUGAAUAGAAUUCCAGAAAUAGCUUUAUUGAAACUGUUUUGACACAUUUCAACCAUCAGAAUCUGUAAAAUGUCAUUUUGGGCCCUUAAUUUUGUAUUUUUCACAUUUUUGGCCCAAAAUGUGUGUUUUUAGCUUAAAGAAAAUUGUUGCUAACCACUUGGCUAUUUAUCUAGUAUCACUUAUUAUGUAGGAACAUAUUUGAAGCUAAUAUCAUAAAACAUGAGUUAUAUCUCGGUUUUGAGGGGUUUAAUGGCUAGAUCCAACAUUAAAACACAUAUAAGCAUACAUAUAAGCAUGGAAAUCAUACAAGGCAUACAAAUACAUAUAGAUCUACACUUUCACUUGUAUUCCCCCCCACAAAAACUCUUAAAAACAGAAAAUAGGGGUAUGAAUCUCACCUUGAGUGGGUAGUUUCGGUUCUUGAAGAAAAAUUGGAAGAAAUGAAGUGAUUUUUGGCCCUUGCACUCCUUGAUGAACUUUUCGAGAUUAUGGGGUUUCUAGAGUGCAAGAUCACGGUUUUUACAUGGAUUAGGAAGAGAUUUUGAUAACAAAAGAAUUUAAACCAUAGAUCUAUGCAUAAUCUUACCUUAGAUGAUGAUUUACUUGCAAAAUCCUCUUGGAAAGUCCCUAAAUUUCGAGAUUUUUGGAGAGGGGAGGGAAGGAGAGUUCUUUGAGUGUUCUAGAGAGAAAGUUGAGAUAUUUUGGUGUGUGUGAUGAUGCUUGGCCGAGAGUGAGAGAGGAGAGAAGAAGAAAUGACUUUUGAAGUGAUUUGCAUGGAGAUAUGGACUAAGAUGCAUGGAGACAUGUUGGGUAAUAAUGAGGUGGCAAGCAAAUAGUCAACCCUUCUUCUUGGGCUUUUCUUUUGGGCCGAAAAUGGGAAGGAAAAAAAAAGUUUUUGGGCUUUUUGCUCCUAAGCCCAACAUUAGUGUUAAUUAGGGUAUUUAUUGGACUUAUAAAAUAAAAUUGUGAUUUUUGUGCUUUAUUAAGCUAGGUUAGGUUUAAUUAUGGAUCAAAACUUGUGUUUUAUUUCCUUCUAGGUUCUACCUAGCCCAAAAUAUUGAAAUAGACGAAUGUGGGUCCAAUUAGAGCCCAAUUAGGGUCCUAACCCAUGAUAGUCCAAUUGGAAGCUUAUUGGUCCAUUUGGAUCCAAUAAAGAAGUCUUAGUCCAAAAUGGACUUAACCAAAACUUCUAGGGUCUCCAAUUGUUUGAUGGCUAUCUAUAGUACUUGUAUCUUGUAUUUGGUUAAAGUUUUUGAUUCACAUUAACUUGAAUGUAUAGAUUACAUAGCUUAAAAUUCACAGUUGUGACAUUUGGUGUCAACUCGGCUGAGUUGACUCGGCUUGGUUGACUUAGCUGACUUAGAGAUUUUUGACCAGUUUGACCAUGGACUUUGACUUUUAUUUACUCUGUUGACUUUUGACCAAGUUUGACUUUAGAUCAAACUUGAGGGUUUGGAUUGGUGAAUAAGACUUUGUAUGGUUCUACUGUUAGUGGAUCUGUGGGAGUAAGCAAUGUAGCAGGGAACAGAUCAUGGUAUUCUCGGGUUUCUUCAUUUCAGGUGAGUUUCGCCUCAUGUUGCCGUGGGUCGAAGGCACCAAUUCUGGCCCAUUGUUUUUGGUUAUCUAUUCGUAGAGGGAUGCCAUAGGGAUUGUAUAUAGUCACGUAGGAUACACUCAGGAUUCUUGAUCUUGGCUCUCUUACCUAUUCCUUGUUUGGUUGUGGUUCAAGGGUAAGGUCAUCUGUUCGACUGGCUAUCUCACCUCUGAUUAUAUACGGUUCUACAUUUCUUAGAUUGUUGCUACUUUGUAUGACACGAUGUUGUAAUGAUCGGUUAUACCUGUAUUCCGGUAUCGAGUAUACUGAUAGGCUGUAGUGAUCGGUUAGAUCUGUAUUCUGAUAUUGAAUAUGCUGAUAAUUUGUGGUGAUCUAUUAGAUCUGUAUUCUGGUACCGAGUAUGUUGAUAUGUUGUAGUGAUCUGUUAGAUCUGUAUUCGGGUGUCGAGUAUGAUGAUAUGUCAUAGUGAUCUAUUAAAUUUGUAUUAUGGUAUUGAGUACAUUUUUAUGUUGUAGUGAUCUGUUAGACCGGUAUCUUGGUAUGUAGGAUGUUGUUAUGCUAUAAUGCACGGUUAGAUCUAUAUGUUAUUUUUACUUACUGAUUAUCAUCUGGUAGAGUUCCCUAGGGAUUGUCUGUGGUUAUGUAGGAUAGCAUGAGAACUCUUGGUAUAGGCUCUGUUGUCUGUUCCUUGUUUGGUUGAUGCGCUAGAGUAGGAUCAUUUGUUCGGGUGGCUAUCUCACCUCUGGCUACUUAUGGUUAUGCAUUUCAUGGAGAUUAGUUGGUAGUAGGAUUGUGUGUUGUGAGAGGACUAGUAGGUGGGAGUGAGUUGUAAGAUUUAUGUUUGCCUAUUUUAUAUGCAUGCUUAAUCCUUAUUUGUUUAUAUGCGGACAUAUGGUGGUGGUGGGUUGAGAGGGUCAUGCUUUGUUCUGUAGGCCAAGAUACCCUGUGCGGGCCAGCAGUAAGCCGAAGGAAUAGAGGCUCGGGAGAAGCAGUUGGGUUGAUUCGUUGGACCAACAAACCCUGGUAUUCCGGCUGGGAUAGACAGAAGCCCUGCGAGGCGGUCCAGUCAAGCCGAAGGUCGAAGAGCGGUAGUUAUUCAUGCUUAUAUGUUUAUCGCAUAGGGUAUUUUCGGGGAAAUUAACUAAGCCUUAUGCUUACCCAGUUGUUUAUGGUUUCAAGUACCAUCGGCGAUUGCGGGAAGGCGAAGGCGAGACUGUACACACUCAUCAGCAAUAUUGAAGAUUCCACGUUUUCUAUGAGAGUUUGAUUUUUAAUAAAUAUAAUUUGGAAUAAAUGGUUCUCUUAAAUAAUGGGUUAAUAAAAUGGAAAAUUUUACCUUAAUAAAAAUGAAAAAUUUUAGUUGUUAAAAUGGGAUGUUACAAGUUGGUAUCAGAGCUCUGGUUUGAGUGAAUUGGAGGAACACUCGUGUGAAUCCAGUUUCAAACUAGGAUCCAAGAAUUUUUGAAAAAUAUUUUUGAAAGAAAUAAUUCGUAAUAAAAGGGGUUGACUAAGGACAUGGGCUCGGUCUCUUGUCAUGUUCUUGUUUGAUUGUUGGCUUGGGAUCACGAAUGUGGGUCUUGGCUUAACUUUGAAGUUUUCAGGAGGAUGCGGUGUGUACAGUCAGCCAGAGCCCGAACAGGAGAGUGGCUCCUAAAAUAACCAUAUUGGUUAUGUUUUCUGAGUUUUGAUUUUGCUUAUAUGUGAUUUGGUAGACAAUCAUGCUAGUGGAUAAGGUUCUUUAGAAACUGCUGGAUAUAAACACUAGAUUUAUAUGAUGCCUUAUGAUGUAGGUAGGUACUUGUUUGAUGUAUAUUAGUUGAUCAUUUGACAGUCUAUCUAAUCUCAUGUUUUGUACAACAAGCAUGCACAAAAGUAACCGGUAGUGCGAGAGCGGAUGAUUCUAGGAAGAGUACCUAGGAAGUCAGUUGUAGCUCGUAGCGGAAGUGGUAUUAGCAUAUCUAGGAGCGCUCUAGUAUAGUGACUUGGAACCUUGGGAGGAAUUCUGAAUCGACUACGGAUAGGUGUAGAAGGUAGUAUCGGCUAGUACUACUGAAACAACAACAUCCGUAUGAGAUUCAGGAGGAAUUUCGAGGCUGCUAAGUAACUAAUAGGAAUAGGGCUUGGUGUGAUAAGCUCUGUAUUGUGAUGUCUGAUCUUUUCUUGGUAUAUUUCAAUAUGGUAGCUAUUGGAGGUUAAGGAUCAGGAGCAAGAGUAAGCGGCCAGGAUUGACUGAGGAUCGGGCAGGGUGAUCAUUCUUGAAGAGGUUUUUUCUUUUGUUCAGGAGCAGAUACCGAAGCUAGUUAGGCCUGUCAAGGCCGCUAUGAUGGAGUACUUUGAUCACUGAUAUGCUACCCUUUAUGAGGUUGUUGCUACCACAACUACCAUAAUUGUUGUUUUUGUUGUUGGGGUUCAAGGAGAAAUGGAUUUCCAGUACCGAGACUUCGAAAAUACGAAGCCCUUGGUGUUUGAUGAAGUUCUGGAUUCGAUCAUGGCCAUGAGGUGGAUGUCAGAUGUGGAGGGAUGUUUCUUUACCUGCUCUUUCCCAGGUGACCUGAAGAUCAAGUGCGCCCUGAAACUUUUUCGGUCUGGAGCGAAGGAUUUGCAGAGGCUGAUUACUAGUUCAUACACCCCGGAGCAACAAGCUGCAGUAUCAUGGGAGCAGUUCUUUGGGAUGUUCCGCUCGAGAUAUGUUCCAUUGGUGGAGCGGGAGACGUUGGCUCAUGAGUUUUUGGAUUUGAGACAAGGGUAUGAGUCAUUGACGGAGAUCAACAAGAAGUUCACAGAUAGAGCUAUGUUUUUCCCUGAGUUUGCUGCUUCUGUGCAAUCUUAGAUGACCUGGUAUUUAGAUUUGCAAAAGGCCGUUAGGUGGCGGGAGAUUGAGAUGGAACUCCAGGCGAGGGAUCAGAGGCAGGCCCCGUUGCAGUCCCAGCCGGCAGCGAAGCGGUUCAGGCCCACCAGCCAUAGUUCAAGAUCGUUUGGAAGGAGGCGUAUACCUCUAAUGUGUCGCAAGUAUUGCGGGGAGGGCCAUUUAGGCAGCGAUUGCAGGCAGGGUGCACGAGUUUGUUUGCAUUACAGCUAGGAGUGCCACUUCAGAUCUAGUUGUCCUUUUCUUACGUUCGGUAAGGUGCUAAAUCCUACACCCUUAACUUGUCAGCUGCCCGACGGUUUUCAUGGGACGGUCGGAGCACCAGGGACCGAGAACUGAGAUUGGCAUUUUUUUUAGCAUUUGGGGUAGUAUUUAUAUUCAUCUGUAAUGCCUGUUUAUGUUUUAAAUUUUAGUUGUAAUCUUGAAUGAUUAAUUAAAUGGAAGUAUCUUAGUUGGUCUUGGUUUAUUAAAUUGUUUGUAUGAAUGAAUUAAUUAUCUUUGUCAUCAGAUUGUGUGUAUUGGGGUUUAUGAAUGGCGUGCAUAUUCAGAUUCUUCGUGUAUCUGAAUACCAGUUGUUGCGAUCAAGUUGUUAGGUUCUAUCAUAUUUCAAGUGGGGGAAAAUGAGACCUAGCGGUAAUAAUUCCCUAUGGAAAGGUUUCGUUCAAAGUCAGAUUUCUCCGAGUUCAUGGCUUCCACGCAACUGUUGAAUUUUUGGUUUCGCGUCAAGGUCAUUUUUAGUUGUUGUAAUUCUGAAAAAUAUUUGAGUUUAAAUCAACUACAUGGUAGUUGAUUAGUGGUUCGGAGAUGGCCAUGAUUUAUUAUUCCUUCUGCUAAGGGUUCAUACAGGGUUGGUGCAUGUUUGGAAGUUGGGGGACUCGUGAACUAGUUGGUGUGGAUAAAGUGAGCGGUUAAGGGUUUAUGGGGGGUAUCAAUCCUUGAAAUUGGAUUCUGUAGUCUACAUAUUAUAGGUUUCUAUCCUCGGGACACAUAAUGUUGGAAAUUGACUUGGUGGUUGUGGUUUCGAAAAUCCCCAGCUCUGCGGUUCUCACGAGAAGUUCGAUUCACUAAUUAGGAAGUUGUGGAUUAUGCGGCAUGAUACGUGAUUGUUUUGGAGAUUUUCUUUCUAAGGCUCGUAUUAGGGAGAUGCCUUGUUCUCGAAUGAAGGGUUCACCAGUAGUGAUGGGUCAGGAGUCCUGGUACUCAGUGGCUAUUGGGUGUUUGUGUUCUAGAAAUACACGAGUUGUCUCAUACCAGGAAGUAGACGUUCAGGGAGCUCGUCAUAGCCACCGAUUCUUUCUAUUUGGGAUGCGAAUAGACAGAUGAGGGAGCUUUUUCCUGAGUAUUCGUUGCAGGAGACUUGAGGACGAAGUCUAAGUCAAGUGGGGGAGAAUUGUAACAUCCCGAUGAUGAGAUACUUUUAAUUUUUGGCCCUAUGAUUUAUUUAUAUUUCAAUUUAGACCUUAAGUAUAAGAAAGAGUGCAAUAAGGGCCCUAGAGGCAUUUCCAUAAUUUUGGGUUUGGGGAAGUACGCCAUGUAUAUGUGUGUACACUCAACAUACUAAGGCGUGCCAUAGUACACUGGGCGUACAUCUAUACGCAGGGCGUGUGUGUCAGUCAUGCAGUGUAAUGCCCGCAUAUUCAAGCAAAUCAAUUUAGAGAGAAUAAGAGUCAAAAUGGAUUUAUUAUGGACUAUUAUUUAGAAUGAAUAAUCUUAACCAAGUUAUAGUAUAUGUCACAAGGGUUCCGUACAUAUAAAGAAUAUUGAAAUCCGAGUUAUAACAAAGAAGUUAUGACCCGUCGAAGUUUUACGGAAAAACCGGCACGACACCGGAAAUCAUAAAAAGUAAGUUUGCAAUAAAAUACUUUUAACCCUUGGGGAUCUAAACGAAAGUCGUAGUAUAAUUUAAACCUAGAACAUACAUAAAAAGUGAGUUUGCAAUAAAAUACUUUUAACACAUGGCACUCAACUUGACGAGUUGGAGUCUCAGAACUCGCUGAGUUGGUCCAUUUCCCAGCCUAUAAAUAGAGGAGAAAAUGACCUCAUUUCUCACACCUCUCUCAACCCUUCUCUCCUAACACCCCCAAACCCUCUCUUCUUUUCCCUAGUAACUCUAAGUGCUAGAGGCUAGUCCCAGAGUGGCAAAAGGCUCCAUGAAGAAGAUCUUUUGGCUCAGAAGUUUUGCCCUCACAAAGCCCGGUUCCUAGCCAAACCUCCUAGUAAGUGAGUUAUGCUUGCCUUAGUUUAAGUAUAGCUUAUGUUUAAGUUUAUAAUCAUUAUUAUGAACUUAUAAACAACAAAUAUAUUAUAAAAUAUCAUAUACAAAGUGUUAUUAUAAUAUCAUUUAACUACUCGCGGUACGGGGAAUAUGGUUUGAAAGACCACAUAGGGUUGUUGGAUUUCAAAAGUGCUAUAAUGCCAAAAUGGUCAUGCCCUCCGGUGUUUCAUGUUUGGGCCCUAUCUAUACAUAGUGGUUGAAAAGUUGUUUAUGAUGGGUUUUGAGCAUUCUAACACUUCCUAAGUGUACAUGCAAGCCUAAUAACCUUGGAUCUAUGUUUGUCUAAUUAUCAUGCAAAGUUGAAUUCCAAGGUUAUAUUCCUAUCUAGCAUACAUGGGGAACAAUUUCUAACUUGAAUGAAAGAUAGAAUAACUUACCCUGUUGUUGCUUAUGUUCCUUGAAACCUUGUGAGCCUAGCACCCCAAGUGUGAUGCCUCAAAUGCUUCACACAACACCAAAUGCUCUUGGAAAGACUUUGAGAGAAUACACACUUCUUGAAAUCGGCCUAGCCCUCUAGUUUCUUAUGUGUAGCCGAUUUUGUGGAGAAUGGGAUUCUUAUAUAGUGUUGACACAUCUAGGGUUACACCAUGUAAACCCUAAUGUGUCAUGACUCUUCAUUUCCAUGACCCAUGGGUUUGUAACUCCCAUGGAGCAUCCAUGGAGCAUCCUAUGGGUAGAACCCAACUUGAUAAUCCAUGGAGCCUCUUAGCCCACUAUACAAGAUAUGAAUGAUUUACAUAAUCAACCCAUAUAUUUAAUUAGUUAUCUUUUGAUCACUUAAUUAAUUCCAAAUUAAUUCUUUGAUCAAACUAAUCAAAUAAUAUUAUUAAUAUAUUAGAACUUAUAAUAUAUUAAUAAUCUCCAAGUGUUAUUCCUCUCAUUUAGUCUAUCCAAUUGCAUGGUGCCAUGCAACCCAAAUGGACCAUGCCGGGUCGGGUCAAGUACAAACCAGAAAUAGUUAUGGACUUAGACACCUUAUCCAACAGUUUAGUGCUCGUUUUUCGAUCAAUAAAUCAACUAAAAAGCUUAUUUUUGUCCAUGGAUUUUACAAUUUACAUCAUUUUUUUAGCUUAAAAAGAUAAAUUUAUGUUGAUGAAUAUAAUAGACCUAAUAUUUUCUAGUUGGUAUUCUUGUUCCUAUUCAGUUGAGUUUUUGACCUGUCUUGCAUGGGUUCUUCAUCUCUUAUUCUACAGGACGAUGAGAGUUAGGCUUCUUCCUAUGAAGUCCAAAGUUCUUAAAGAAAUUGACGGCUCAUUAACUUGUUUUUACAAGUUCACCAAAGCUUUUUAGGUCCCAUCCUCCUAUUCUACAGGUUGGUGGGAGUUGGUUUUCUUGCACGAAAUCCAAAAUAUAGCACAUCGUGCUUUGCAUCAGAAUUGAAGAUAUUCAUUUUACUUGUUAAUGCAACUACAACUUGUGUUUCAUGGGUUCCCCAUCGCCUAGUCUACAGGUCAUGGUGGGAGUUUGACUUCCUCUUAUGAAGUUCAAAAAUCUAUAAGGAAUUGAUGAUUUUUAUCUUGUGUAUACAAGAUUGCCUAAGCUUCUUAGGUCCCCACCACUUAUUCAACGAGUCUUGGUGGGAGUUGGACUCAUAUUAUAAUGUCCAAAUGGUUUCAGCAAGGAAUUGACGGAUUCGAAAGAAGAAAAAUUCAUCACGAGCAAUUAAGGCGAAUAAAAGAUGUUUGGCAGAUUGACCACGUCUCAGUGUUUUCAUCAUAUCCGGCUCCUCGGGACUCCGAUUUAGGCGAUUCAAGAUGUUUCGGAAACUAGACACAAUUAUCUAAAAGUUUUGUGUUUUGAGUUUUCACUAAUUCAGUCGUUUUCUAGUUCAAAAUCGACGUGGAAGUUGGGGUUAGUUUGUUGGAAGAGUUCCAAUUCGAAAAUAAGGUGCAAUGUGGAGGACUAAAGCUGUACAAUGGUAAAAGUGAAAGAUCAAGGGCUAAAGUUGUUCCAUGCGGAAAGUUAAAAGCUAGGGGCUAAGGCUGCACCAUUCAUGAAAGUUGGAGGGGCAAGAUUGUACUUAUGCUUUAUAUAUAUAUAUAUAUAUAUAUAUAUAUAUANNNNNNNNNNNNNNNNNNNNNNNNNNNNNNNNNNNNNNNNUAUACACACACACGUGAUCAAAUGGGGGAUUCGGACGGGAGAUACAGAGAGCGAGACCAUGAGAAAAACCUAAGCAAAGAAACCUACACUGUCGCCGUUCCUUACACCUGAUCCACCGUAACAAUCUUUCUCAAUUAUCAUCCAUGCACAACUAAAAUAAAAGAAAGAGGGCAUGUACGUGAGUGAGGCAAAGAAACAAAAGUUGUGCUUUCGACUUCCCUGUGUGACCACGACAAUUGGGUGCAAAACAAUCUGGUGUUUUCUUUUCCUUUUUAAGUCUUUACCUUUGAAAUGAGAUAUUAUUUUAAGUUAUUUAAAUAAUUAGGAUUCGAGUAAUGGUGAUGUUUAACUUUUAUUUGUUCAACUGUUAUGGGUUUUGAUUUUAGUUUAAUGGAGUAAACGUUUUGUGGAUUUGGUCGACUAGGGUGAGAUGAUAAUUUUAAUGUAUUUGAUUUUAUUUGAAACAAUUUUGUUGAAAUCGAAUAGCAUAUUCAAAUGUGUGGUUAUUUUAAAAAUAUAAAUUUUGAUGGGUAACUUUGAUUUUGGCUAACACUUGAUCAACGUUAGUUAGGGUUAAUUUUCUUGGUUUAAAUUUAAUAUUUACAUGCUUAUAUUGACUUCGAGAGAAGCUUUAUUUGUGAUAUCGUUUGAAUAUGAAUGUGCGGUUUCGUUAUCUCGCUUAAACUUAACAUAGAUGUGUGUUAGGGCAUUUUUAACAGAACCAUUGGACUUAAUUUUUUUUUUUUUAAAUCAUGAACUACACAGAGAUAUGAGUGAAUGUUUUCUAAAUCGAAUCAUGUGACCGAGAGGUAAUUGAUAACUUUUGUUGGUGUUAAGUUAUAUUUUUCUAUAUAAUUGAUUUGGCAAAUUAGUUGCAUUAGAAGAACCAUUGAACCUGUAUAAGUCAACUGAAUCCCGUUUUUCUCAUAAUUGUUAAAUUGUUCAAUUGUUUUCUUUGUUUGUUCAAUUAUUUUUGUUUUCAUUUUUAAAUUGGUGAAUUUAGUUUAAUUUUAUUUUUAUUGUUUCUUUAGUUAAAUAUAAUCAAUCACUUUUGCAAUCAAUUUCCUAGUUCAUUCUUCCUUAGAAUAGGAUAGUCCCUGUGGGUUCGAUAUCUGGUCUUACGACUAUAUUACUUGCACGACCUCGUAUACUUGCGAGUACGCGUUUUCGUCAACAAAAGUAUUGUUUAACACUUAUAAAACAAUCUCGCUCGUAAAUAGUCACAAUGAAUAUUAGACUAAAAUCUAGCAGUAAUGAUACUAGGUUUUGUCGAAAGAACAUAGAAUUAUUAGAAGGGAAGCGCUGCCCGAGUUUGGAAUCAUCACUUUAACAAGUGAGUGCAUAGUUACUUUCAUCUUACACGUAGAUAUGAAGUAUUUAAUAUAAAGUAUGUGCUAUAUGUGCAUAUUAUCUAUGUUCUUGAUAUCUAUGUUGCAUGAACCGAAUAUACAUGUUUUAUUUGAUGUAAACUGUAUAUGUAUUUAAUACUAUAAAAAUAUUGGGUAAAGAUGAGUAGAUGAAUGUUGAGGGAUGAAAGAUGAUAUAGAUGAACAUUAGCAACUAUGGAAUUAGUGCCCUAUAGAUAAACAUUGGCAUCUGCGCCACAACCUGUAUAUUUUUUUUUAACAACGAUGUAUUAUAAAUAUCCUAGCAACUGCACCUAAAGGAUAAUAUCGGCAGUUGCGCCUAAUAGAGAACAUCAUAAUCCUGGCAUGUGACAACCCGAAAUAUUUGGUUCAAGCGAGGUUUAAAUUGUAAUUUUGUUACAAGGAAAACCUUGGAAACGUUUAAAACAUAAAUGCGUGUAUAUGGAAGCAUACACCUUGGAAGUCACAUAUAAGGUAACCUUUUGAAAGUAAACAAGUUUAUCAAGAAAAACUAGACAAAUGAAUUAGAAUAAGAAUCUUGAAUCAAAAGAUUGUCUAGUAGUAUUAAGCUUAGUCUCCACACCACCCUAGAACAUGGAAGGCAAUAAGAAUAAUGACUUAAGUCAACCUAUAUGGAUAUUAAUAUGGGAAAAAAGUUUUGUGGAACCAUGAUUUAAUGAACCCUUGGCUAGUUAACAAGAAAACACCCAUUAGACACCUUCGAUGGAUGUUUUAGCAUAAUAUCCCACUAAGGCCAUCACCUUUGAGUGCAUGCUAGCUAAAAACAUGAACACACCCUUGGAAAAUCAUCCAAAACUGUGAACACCUUCCCUUGGGCCACCCUUGGCCAUAAACCCUCUUCAUUGGACCUUACUUGACCAUAAAACUCCCUUAGUGGACCUUACUUGACCAUAAACUCCCUUAGUGGACCUUACUUAGGGCAUAAACACCCUAAUAAAACAAAGCUAGUCCGUGAACACAACCCUAGGUAGUGCCUUGGGCGUAAACUCCUUCAAGAUGGGAUGUUAGGGCGAAAACACAUUAUAUCAUCCAAACUUUGACCAUAAACACCACCCUAGGCAACAUAUGGGGCAUAAACACAUUAAAUAAUCCAAACUUUGACCAUAAACGCCAGCCUAGGAAACAUAUGGAGCGUAAACACCUUGUACUUGCUACAAUACAUUGAUAUUUGUGAAGGGUUUUCUACAAACAAUCCUAUGUGUGCAUGCAACCCUAAUUUGGAUCUACGUUUUCACUAUUAGAUACACAACAUUAUGAACACAUGAAUAAAAACCUAAUGUAGGUUGCUAUUUUCUAAAUUCAUACAUAAGCUUAGAUCACAUACCUCUUGUUGUUAUAUUGCAAUAACAAAUUAAAUCUUCAAACCCUUAGUCUUGAAAGCAAGCACCACAAGUGUAGUGCCUCUAAUGGCUCACAAACACCACAAGCAAUUGGAGAGGCUAUUGAGAGACAAGGGAGGAGGUAGAAAUCGGCUCUAGAUACCCUAGGGAUCAAGUGGACGAUUUCUUAUCCCUUAGGGAUCUUUUUAUAGGGUUAAGAUUAGGGUUUCAGUCCUUAUCCUUAUCUAGUUGUUUGCCCACCAAGUAAUCAUAAGAUAAGCCUUGAUAACCCUUAUCUCUUGGACCUUUGGACGAUUUCAAGGAUAUCCAAUCCCUUGAAUUCGUCCAUCCUACUACUAGGAUAACUAUUGCCCUAUUUUGCAACUAUCACAUAAUUACAAUUCAGCCCCUCUAGUUUAAUUAAUUACACUUGAUCACAAAAUUAAUUCCUAAUUAAUUAUUGACCAAUAUUAAUUAAACAAAUAUGAUUUCUCCUUUAAUAUAUUAUUCUUAUAACAUAUUAAUAAAUCAUAAUAACCUCUUUCUCUAUUUAUUUCUCCAGUCAAGUUGCUUUGGUGAAGGCAACCCAAAAGGACCAUGCACAACCGGGCCAAGUACUUACCAAAUAUGGUUACGGGCUUAGACACUAAUCUAACAGUCUCCCACUUGGAUAAGUAUAGUAACCACAAAUGUAACGUACAACUCGAUUAGCAAUCGUAGCUCUCAAAGAUGCUGUCGAACUCUGAUCUCAUCAGUAACUUGUCCUUUAGAUAAGGGAUCGUACAAUCCUCUGUUUAGAUUUUGUGCGGACAAUCACAUGGAACUAAUUGUCCAGCAGUUGGUUUCUCGAUCUCAUAUUCAUUUGACAUAAAACUUAAUUGAACACAUCAAUUCAGUCCUGACCGGGCCCGACACAUAAGUCAAAUCAAAUCAUCGAGCGGCCGUGAUAUCUCUUUUACCCUCUUAGGAUAGAAGUAACAGAUAAACUUCGACUUAUAUGCAUUUACUAUUUAUUAAUCAACUAUACACAACAAUGCGUUUUAUGACAUCAAUUUACUGAUGUUGUUUUGCAUUAUCAAUGUACAACCAAUUAGUAAACAAUAAACCAUAUAUCUUGGUUUUAAGACCAUAUGAUAUUAUCGUCUUGCGAUCACUUUUGUCACAUUCCAUAAAAUGAUUCCAGCAAGCGCGGGUUUAUUCCAAUGCUCAAAACUUGUUCAUAAGCACUCAUGAAAGUUGCAGCAACCUUUUCUAUGUCUAAUACCUUUUAGACACUCUAAAUACUAAUUCAUGACAAUCUUCAUUCAUACCUACUUCCAACAUAUGAACGAUUGUGUACCAUUCGAAUAAUUCGACUAUUCUUAAUAACUCAAUUAUUCAGGAAGUCAAAACAUGCAAAUUAAAACAAUAGUUAAACAACUAACAUAAGACAGUAACUUAUAAAUAAUACUCCUUUAUUUAAUCAUCAAAUGUCAAUUACAUUUAUCUAUUAUAUGUUUCUAAAACUAUCUAAUCUAAACUAAUAUCAUCCUUCAGCCCAAUGCUCCUAGCAUGCUGCAAGUGCUAAGCCCUACUCAGUCCCUUUGUAAGUGGAUCUGCUGGAUUAUCUUCUGAUGAUAUCCUCUUAACCACGAGGUGUCCUUCUUCUACUCGAUGUCUAAUAAAAUGAUACUUUCUUUUGAUAUGCCGAGAUCUACCAUGAUCCCUUGGUUCCUUGGUCAAGGCAACCACUCCUUCAUUAUCACAGAAAAUUUCCAUAGGAUCCUUUAUGGCAGGUACAACUCCAUGGUCUCCAAUGAAGUUCUUCAACCAUAUUGCCUCCUUUGACGCUUCGCUCGCUGUAAUCCUUUAUGGCAGGUAAAACUGGGGUUGAACUCUAACUCUUUCGGAACGUCUAAGAGGUAACGACUCGUUAAUUGGUUCAACCGGAGUUUCCUCCUCGGGUUGAGCGCCAGCGGUAGAGGUUCCUUCAUCGCUCGAUUCUUGAAUCUCUUCAAGAUCGAUUUUCCUCCCACUGUCUCCUUGGCUUAUGAGUUCUCGCUCUCGGAAAACCCCUCUCCUCGCAACGAAGACAACAUUGUCACUCGGUCUAUAGAAGAGAUAUCCAAAGGAUCUCUGCGGGUAGCCGAUGAAAAUACAUCGCUCACUACGAGGUUCGAGCUUUUCGUGAGUCUCUCAUCUUACGAAAACCUCACAGACCCAAACCUUGUUAUGUGCGAACGAAAGAGCCUUCCCUGUCCACAUCUCAUGAGGUGUUUUGGCAACCUUCUUUGUAGGGACUCGGUUAAGGAUAUGGGCGGCAGUCUCUAAGGCAUACCCCCAGAAUGAGAUAGGUAGUGAACCACGACUCAUCAUAGAACGGACCAUGUCCAACAGGGUUCGAUUACGCCUUUCUGCCACACCAUUCAAUUGCGGUGUCCUAGGUGGCGUCAAUUGCGAAACUAUUCCGCAUUCCUUGAGGUAGUCGUGGAAUUCAAGACUUAGGUACUCACUGUUGGAUUAAUGUCUAAGUCCAUAACUAUAAUUGGUAAGACUUGACCCGACCCGACAUGGUCCAUUUGGGUUGCAUGGCAUCAUGCACUUGGAUAGACUAAAUGAGAGAAAUAAGGCACUUAUGGUUAUUAAUAUAUUAUAAGUUCUAGUAUAUUAAUAAUAAGAAUAAUAGUAUUUAAUUAGUAUUGAUCAAGAAUUAAUUUAGGAUUAAUUAAGUGAUCAAAAGAAGACUAAUUAAAUAUAUGGGUUGAUUGUGUAAAUCAUCCAUACUUGUAUAGUGGGCUAAUGCUCCAUGGAUAAUCAAGUUGGGCUAAAACCCAUAGGAUGGUCCAUGGAUGCUCCAUGGUGUAUUUGUACCCAUGGAUCCAAGGAAAUGGAAAGCCAUGACAAUUAAGAGUUUACCCUAAUUGUGUAACUAUAUAAGCAUCUUAUUAUUGAGGAAAAAUCGGCCACUAGAGAUAGUGAAGAAAGGGCUAGCCGAUUUUGAAAAGUGUAGAAUUCUCUCAAGUUAUUCUAAGUGUUUUGAUGAUUGUGAUUCCAUUUGAGGUGUCACACUUGGGGCACUAGGCACUCAAGCUUCAUGAAGACUUUCUACACCAAAGAGGUAUGUAUUCUAUCUUGCUAUAGUCAUUGUUUUGUAUGCUAGAUUAGGAUAAUACCUUGGAAGUUCUUAUUUGCAUGUAUAAUAGAGAAAACAUAGAUCCAAGGUAUUUAGGGUUGCAUGUACACUUAGGAGUGUUAGAAUGCUCAAAACCCAACAGUGGUAUCAGAGCCUAGGCUUGUUUUCUUGUUAUACCUGCAAUAGAAGCUGAAAAAACGAAUCUGGUGCUGUCUGGCCAUCAGACUCGGCGAGUCCAUCAGGAGACUCGACGAGUCCAUGCCUAAAAAGUGAUGAAUUCGAUCCAACUCGCCGAGUUUGUUCGUGCACUCGACGAGUUGGACCCCCAGACAGCAUAUUUUCGAGUUUUUUGGCUAGAAAUGGACUAGGAACAUUACCCUAAGUUGUUUUUGAACUUAUAAACUUGUUUUUGAUGUGGUAAUGUUCAUGCGAAUCCAAUUUCAAAGAUAAUUGUCAAUAGAUUCAUGUUUUGUAUUAGUUUAAGGUUUAGACUAAUUACAUGAAAAAGUUUGAUUUGAUUUAUCUUGUUCUUAUGAGUUGCUUAGAUUAAUAGGAAGUUAUGUGAAAUUGUUGUUUUCAAUCUAUUUUAAUCUAAGAGUUGAUUCUAAAAUGUGUUUUUUGUAACUUUUCCUCAAGUUAUAUGAAAAGUCACAUUUAAGAAUCAUAAAAGUCAUAAAAGUUGGCAAAGGUUACAAAAUGAAGAGUCUAGUUCUAAUUAAAUGGUUUUAUGACCCCAUAACUUGUCCUCAAGUUAUGGAGGUUCAAGAGUCUCUUCAUUAAAUAAUAAAUAAAAAAAAGUGUAACCUUAAUUAGUUCCAUAAGUUUCAAUAAAAAAAUUAAUUAUUUUUUUUAUUAAUUGGUUUAAAGUCUUCCAUAACUUGUCCUCAAGUUAUGGAACUUGAAGAGUUUUUUUAAUUAAAACUACUUUAAAAUCAUAAGUUAUGGAAUUAGUUAGUUUUGAAUAGUUUCAAAAAAAAAACUUUCCCUCAAGUUUUGGAAUUUGAAAAGUUUUCUCUUGUGAAUACUUUAAUUCCAGGUUAGCCCUUAGAAUUUUAAAAGUUAAAAUUCAACCCUUAUACUUUAUAAUAUUAUAAGGUAAUAAUAUUUAUAUAUAUAUGUAUAAGAGUAUAGUCAGUCUUACUACGCCUCAUUCACGAAGCCGGUCUAUAAGGUGGGUAUAAGGUUGUUGCCUAUAAAAUGGCAACUUAAUGGGUGUCCACUCUCACCCACCGCUUGCUUGACUGGUGGAGGGUCGUUAGCCGAACGGGUUUGACAGGACUAGAAUUCUCCCUUCAUUAAAAGUAUUAAUGAUAAAUACUAAGUAACUAAACUCUUAAUAAUACCCAAUCUUAGUUACUUAGGAAAAAUGUGAAUAAGGUGCUAAUCCAUGAAAUUACACUUUACACUUUGUCUAAGUCGUUAGUGGAGCGUGUGUGGUUAACCGGCACACUAACUUGGACUUAACAAGGUAGGUAAAGGGUGACUUAAUAUUUAUCAUAGUAUCGAUGGAGCGUGUGUGGUUAACCGGCACAUCGAUUGAGGGGUAAUUUAUUAAGGGUACCAAGUGAUUUGCAUGGUUACUUCACACCUUGUUUUGUGAUCCUCGGCAUCCCAGUCACAAAACCUGAAGGGCACACUCGAGAUUGAAACAUGCCUUUGAACAGUUCAAUGAAUCUCAAAGAUCUAGGAGUUUCAAAACCAAUUAAAACCUAAUAAUACAUUUCGUUUAUCUUGGUGGAAAUUGGUGAAUCGUCAUUCACCUACCUUCAAAUAUUUUAUAGCUUGGAUUACGGCAUCCCUCUUCCAAGUUAUAAAAGUAUUGUGUUGGGUCCUAGCCUUAAUAUUUCAUAUUGGGUGUUAUAUUAAGGACUUUAAAUCAACUAUCUUGAAUAUCUCCCAAAAGAUGUCUGGUUUAGACAUUUAUGAUCUUCCCAAAUCUCUUGAAACAAGCUUUCCUAAAUGAAGAUGAUGUCCCAUGGAAAUCAUACUUCUUUCACCUCCUCCAAUUAUUCUUCCUAACCCACAAGUUCUUGAAAAGUUUAAGGUCACUCAAGCCCUAUUGGCAAGUAAAGGUCUAUGUGUGGUCACAUCUUGGACAUGUAGUCACAUAUUGACAAGCCGGGAGAGUUGGGUGUCAAAUUCUUGGGAAAGUUGGUGGUACAACUACUUUCUAAGUCAUAUAGUGAGUUCUUUUGGAACAGCUGUGAAAUAGACUAUGACAAGACCCUUAAUGAUCUUAUCUAUUUGCUAAGAUCAACUUCCUAAAAACUUUAUGGACAUUGACAAUAAUGACACUGGACAUCCAGUAAAGCUCUCUCUUCCCAAUGAAAACGGAUCGGCCAUAGUCAACUCAGUUGACCAAAUGGUAAAGAGAAAGGCUAAGUCCGUGAUAGUACCGCGUACCAUUACCAAUGGGUCCAUAUGUUUAUAUUGCCAAAGGAAGGGGCAUUGGUUGCGAAGCUGCCAAAUUUACCUAAGGAUGUUAAAGUCAAUAAGUUUGACUCUACUUCAGGUAAAUUCCACUANUAACUCUAUUAAGUUCCUAUUUGGAGAUUCUUAUUACAUGAUGUGACUGGGUCACAUGUUGGUGGUUAAGAUUCAAAGGAAAAGUGAAGAAACUUAAAAGAAGUAUAUGCAAAUUCUGAUUGCGAAGAUGGAUUUCACUCGCAUGGUUCGGUGAUCAGAAUUUUUGGGCUGUUACUUAAGAGUUGUGAUAUAUAUUGCUUAGGAAUAGAUAACAACAAGUUUUCAUAUGGAUUGUAAGGAUAAGUUUUUCCGCAAAAUUUUAAAAUAUAAGAAAUAUGGUUUUGAUUUUAUUUAUUUUAAGUAUCCUUACAAUGAAAUUUGUGAAAAAUUGUUGCUUAUAAGAUUCCAUUAACAGCAAGAGUGGAAAUAUGAAUUUGAUUCUUUCAUUUGUGAUAGUGUGUAAAUUUACCAAAUAAGAAAAGAUUCUCGUCACCCAAGUUUCAGUUGGAUAGAAACUUGGAAUCAUGCAAGUUGUAUAACAUGAUUAAUGAGAACUUUUGAGCAUUGGAAAAGUUAAGACUAACUACUUGUUCACAUGGAUGUGUGAGUCAAGUAAUGGACAAAGGGAUAUAAUACACAUUCUUGUGCACUGAUUAAGUGCACCACAAAAGAUAGAUAAGACUAUUCUUCAUGAUUUACUUAAGUUUAGUAAAUAUGGUUAUACUUACAAGUUUAAGUAUAAUUCUGAAACAUUGGAAAAGUUUCAAUGUAAGGCAGAACGAAUAUGAAGAGUCAAAUUAGGCAGAAAGAUAAAAGUUUCUUAAAUCUGAAAAGAUGGGAGAGUACUUUAUAUCAGUUUUGUGAUCUUCUUAAUGAUUAAGAAACCAUAUCAAAAUUAGUUCUCUAAGGAAAUCUUAGUGCAUUCUUAUGACUAAGAAGAGGAACUUGAAUUGUUGAAAUGGUUAAAAAAAGAAGAUGAGUCAUACUUCGUUCCAAUACAAGUUUUAGAGUCAUACUCCAAGAUUGUAAUUUGAGUGACAUGUCUUAAAGAAGGUUUAAAACACUUGUCAAAUGUAAGAGUAAAAGUUUUCUACUCUUGUACAUUUGAAAUUGGUAAGUUGUGAUGUUUUUGAUAAAAAAAGACCAAUUAAGGCCAAUUGUGUGAAGUGUGUGUCUUGAUUAGAAUCCACAUUAUCUCUUGAAUAUCUGACAAGAAAGCCUCAUAUGUCAAGAGGACAGUGGGAGUCUUAAAGGUCUUGAAAGUCUCAAGAACUAAUCAAGAACAAAACCUGAAGUUCCUCACUAGCACACGACUUGAGGUUCAUAACCUAUCGUGUUGACAUAUUCUGUGCCCUUUCCAAUUAAAGUUGGUUUUGCAUACGAGUUCUUAGAGUUCUCAAUUGGUUGCACAACAACUUGGAAGCAAUGGCAGGCCCUUGAGCUGCCAGGUGGCAAGAAAUUAAGAUUGAGUUCAAUCCAUAUGGUUUUGGAUUUGUCAUUAUCUUUGUCUUGUGAUUAUGGUUUGACAAAUUCAUAUGGGUAGGAACUCAUACACCAUAUAAAUCUAAGUGUCAUAAGGUUUCUCUCCGAUUCAUGAAAAUGAUGGUGAGGAAACGCUUUCACUAAGUAGAUUUUACGUAGAUAUCAAUUGUGUUAUUUGCAUUUUCAAAAGUCGUUAGUGGAGCGCGUGUGGUUAACCGGCACACU
This 41721-nucleotide long non-coding RNA is filed under the name Lactuca sativa (garden lettuce). RNAcentral's name for it is "long non-coding RNA (LSAT_LNC000855)". Lineage: Eukaryota; Viridiplantae; Streptophyta; Magnoliopsida; Asterales; Asteraceae. The record is from RNAcentral.